RNAcentral lists this long non-coding RNA (1338 nucleotides) under Equus caballus (horse). RNAcentral describes it as "lncRNA (ENSECAG00000058257.1)". The record is from RNAcentral. Lineage: Eukaryota; Metazoa; Chordata; Mammalia; Perissodactyla; Equidae.
CAAUCCCAAGCCUCCUUGGAGAACUGAGGGCGCCACCGGAGCUCCGGUAUCAGGAUCCGGAGGAUUUAAACACUUAGUGUUCGUCAACGGUUAAGUUCCGGAGUGGGGCGGGCCUUGCGCGCACGCAGUGAAAAGCCCAGCCGGGCGGCCGGGAGGACGUCAGAGGCGGCCGGAAGCGCUCGCUUCCGUGGUCGUUGCUCGGCGACUAGAAGCGGACUAAAUUUGAAAGGACAAAAGAGGGGAAGUUAGAUUUCUUCCGGUUUCUUUCCUAAGAAGCAUCCCCUCCUCUCAAUAACAUAAAUUAAAAAAAAAAAAAAGAAAACACUUCCUGUUGAGCAGAAAAGAACUUGACAAAUUUAUAAACCGUUUGUGCUUACUCUGCAGCUGAUUGGCAAGUUCUUUCUGUAGGGAGAUCCAAGUGACAAACCUCAAUGGCUGCCAUGGGUUACAUUUAGUGCAGAGGCCCUGGGGUGUAAGCUUCCUCACAUCUUCGAGCAAGGAGGUGUGGGUUAGGCGUAGUGAUGUCCCUCGAAAGUGUACAAUAUGGAAAGGAGGAGGAGAAAGAGUAACUUUACAGUGGAGAAACCUGACCAAUGUUACUUCAGCCGGGUGACCUAGGCCAACAUUGAGUCAUAAGUCAUGUUGACAGUAUGUACACUUGAAAUGCUGUGAUGAAAAUGGCACUUUACCUCUGUGGUCUUCCUUUCAGUAACUUAUAACCCCAGUUUUACCCUGAGAAAAACAUCAGACAAAUUCCAAUAGAGGGCAAUCCGAUAAAAUACCUGACCAGUACUCCUCAAAACUGUCAAGGUUAUCAAAAACAAGGAAAGUUUGAGAAACUAGCCAAGAGGAGCCUAAAGAGAUAUAACAAAUAAAUGUAUUGUGGUAUCAUGGAGGGGAUCAUGGACCCAAAAAAAAUGACACUAGGUUAAAAACAAAGAAAAUCUAAAUAAACUGUGGACUUUAAUUGAUAAUAAUGUACCAAUAUUGGUUUGUUAAUUGUAACAAAUGUACCAUACUAAAUAUAAGAUGUUAAUAAUAGGAGAAACUAAGUGUGGGGUAUGUGGGAACUCUGUACUGUGUUCUCAAUUUUUCUGUAAAUAUAUUUCUAAAAAAUAAAGUCUGUUACAAAGAAAAAAGGAAGGGGCAAGAGAAGAGUUGAAAUAUGCCAAUUUUUUGAACAACAAUAAAGUAAAAUGGCUUCUUUUUUGCUUAAUAAUAACUCAAAUACAAAAAAAAGGCUUCAAUUAAACAUUGAAUGAAGAGAAAAAUAAUCUUAUACAUCUAUUCCCUAUAAUCUAUUCCCUAGAUAUUAAAAAAAUUUUUGAAUUAUGGUAU